This 96-nucleotide transfer RNA is filed under the name Streptomyces sp. F-1. RNAcentral describes it as "tRNA-Gly". Lineage: Bacteria; Bacillati; Actinomycetota; Actinomycetes; Kitasatosporales; Streptomycetaceae. The record is from RNAcentral.
GUCGGGUUCGGGCCGGUUGAGUUGCCCGGCCACCCCUCCCGUGGGAGGCGUGGCUUCACCCCAAGCCGGUCCGGCAUCAACUGCCGGGCCCGGCAC